UUUGAGGAGGAAAGUGGGGGACCUUCGGCCUCACGCUGAAGGAGCGGCCGAUGUCAGAUUAGCUAGUUGGUGGGGUAAAGGCCUACCAAGGCGACGAUCUGUAGCUGGUCUGAGAGGAUGAUCAGCCACACUGGAAAGAGACACGGUCCAGACUCCUACGGGAGGCAGCAGUGGGGAAUUUUGGACAAUGGGGGCAACCCUGAUCCAGCCAUGCCGCGUGCGGGAAGAAGGCCCUCGGGUUGUAAACCGCUUUCAGAUGGAAAGAAAUGGUGUAGGUUAAUAACCUGCAUUGAUGACGGUACCAUCAGAAGAAGCACCGGCUAACUACGUGCCAGCAGCCGCGGUAAUACGUAGGGUGCGAGCGUUAAUCGGAAUUACUGGGCGUAAAGCGUGCGCAGGCGGUUCUUUAAGACAGGUGUGAAAUCCCCGGGCUUAACCAGGGAAUUGCGCUUGUGACUGGAGGGCUAGAGUGUGGCAGAGGGGAAUGGAAUUCCUGGUGUAGCAGUGAAAUGCGUAGAUAUCAGGAGGAACACCGAUGGCGAAGGCAGUUCCCUGGGCCAACACUGACGCUCAUGCACGAAAGCGUGGGGAGCAAACAGGAUUAGAUACCCUGGUAGUCCACGCCCUAAACGAUGUCAACUAGUUGUUGGGGAGGGAGACCUCUUUAGUAACGUAGCUAACGCGUGAAGUUGACCGCCUGGGGAGUACGGCCGCAAGGUUAAAACUCAAAGGAAUUGAUCGGGGACCCGCACAAGCGGUGGAUGAUGUGGAUUAAUUCGAUGC
This 783-nucleotide ribosomal RNA is filed under the name uncultured Rhodocyclaceae bacterium. RNAcentral's name for it is "bacterial SSU rRNA". It matches the Rfam family "Bacterial small subunit ribosomal RNA", at positions 193 to 957 of the family's 1533-position model. The record is from RNAcentral. Lineage: Bacteria; Pseudomonadati; Pseudomonadota; Betaproteobacteria; Rhodocyclales; Rhodocyclaceae.